Molecule: ribosomal RNA, 446 nt
Filed under: uncultured bacterium
Lineage: Bacteria
Description: bacterial SSU rRNA
Rfam family: Bacterial small subunit ribosomal RNA
Source: RNAcentral
AGCGAACGCUGGCGGCAGGCUUAACACAUGCAAGUCGAGCGCCCCGCAAGGGGAGCGGCAGACGGGAGAGUAACACGUGGGAACGUACCUUUUGGUUCGGAACAACUGAGGGAAACUUCAGCUAAUACCGGAUAAGCCCUUACGGGGAAAGAUUUAUCGCCAAAAGAUCGGCCCGCGUCUGAUUAGCUAGUUGGUGAGGUAACGGCUCACCAAGGCGACGAUCAGUAGCUGGUCUGAGAGGAUGAUCAGCCUCAUUGGGACUGAGACGCGGCCCAAACUCCUACGGGAGGCAGCAGUGGGGAAUAUUGGACAAUGGGCGCAAGCCUGAUCCAGCCAUGCCGCGUGGAUGAUGAAGGCCCUAGGGUUGUAAAGUCCUUUCGACGGGGAAGAUAAUGACGGUACCGCAAGAAUAAGCCCCCGGCUAACUUCGUGCCAGCAGCCGCAGU